UACGAAGGGGGCUAGCGUUGUUCGGAAUUACUGGGCGUAAAGCGCACGUAGGCGGGUUUGUAAGUAGGGGGUGAAAUCCCAGGGCUCAACCCUGGAACUGCCUUCUAAACUGCAAGCCUGGAGGUCAGGAGAGGCGAGUGGAAUACCGAGUGUAGAGGCGAAAAUUCGUAGAUAUUCGGUGGAACACCAGUGGCGAAGGCGACUCGCUGGACUGAUACUGACGCUGAGGUGCGAAAGCGUGGGGAGCAAACAGG
RNAcentral lists this ribosomal RNA (254 nucleotides) under uncultured bacterium. RNAcentral describes it as "partial 16S ribosomal RNA". It matches the Rfam family "Bacterial small subunit ribosomal RNA", at positions 524 to 776 of the family's 1533-position model. The record is from RNAcentral.